UGGGGAAUUUUGCACAAUGGGCGAAAGCCUGAUGCAGCAACGCCGCGUGUGUGAUGAAGGUCUUCGGAUCGUAAAGCACUUUCGACCGGGACGAACAACCUCUGGCUAACAGUCAGGGGCCUGACGGUACCGGGAGAAGAAGCACCGGCUAACUCUGUGCCAGCAGCCGCGGUAAUACAGAGGGUGCAAGCGUUGUUCGGAAUUAUUGGGCGUAAAGCGCGUGUAGGCGGCUUGUUAAGUCGGGUGUGAAAGCCCUCAGCUCAACUGAGGAAGGGCGCCCGAAACUGGCGAGCUUGAGUGUCGGAGAGGAUGGCGGAAUACCCCAAGUAGAGGUGAAAUUCGUAGAUAUGGGGUGGAACACCGGUGGCGAAGGCGGCCAUCUGGACGACAACUGACGCUGAGACGCGAAAGCGUGGGGAGCAAACAGG
Molecule: ribosomal RNA, 428 nt
Filed under: uncultured bacterium
Lineage: Bacteria
Also listed under: 1 other name
Description: bacterial SSU rRNA
Rfam family: Bacterial small subunit ribosomal RNA
Source: RNAcentral